This 447-nucleotide ribosomal RNA is filed under the name uncultured bacterium. Its description in RNAcentral is "partial 16S ribosomal RNA". It matches the Rfam family "Bacterial small subunit ribosomal RNA", at positions 29 to 523 of the family's 1533-position model. The record is from RNAcentral.
AGCGAACGCUGGCGGCAGGCCUAAUACAUGCAAGUCGAACGGCUCUUCGGAGCAGUGGCGGACGGGUGAGUAACGCGUGGGAAUGUGCCCUUAGGUACGGAACAACACAGGGAAACUUGUGCUAAUACCGUAUGUGCCCUUCGGGGGCAAGAUUUGUCGCCUUUGGAGCAGCCCGCGUUGGAUUAGGUAGUUGGUGAGGUAAAGGCCCACCAAGCCGACGAUCCAUAGCUGGUCUGCGAGGAUGACCAGCCACACUGGGACUGAGACACGGCCCAGACUCCUACGGGAGGCAGCAGUAAGGAAUUGUUCGCAAUGGGCGAAAGCCUGACGCAGCCAUGCCGCGUGUAUGAUGAAGGUCUUAGGAUUGUAAAAUACUUUCACCGGGGAAGAUAAUGACGGUACCCGGAGAAGAAGCCCCGGCUAACUUCGUGCCAGCCGCCGCCGUAA